RNAcentral lists this ribosomal RNA (266 nucleotides) under uncultured archaeon. Its description in RNAcentral is "partial 16S ribosomal RNA". It matches the Rfam family "Archaeal small subunit ribosomal RNA", at positions 717 to 982 of the family's 1478-position model. The record is from RNAcentral.
ACACGACUACAUUAGAUACCCCUGUAGUCCUAGCCGUAAACGAUACUCGCUAGGUGUCGGCCACGGUGCGACCGUUGUCGGUGCCGUAGGGAAGCCGUGAAGCGAGCCACCUGGGAAGUACGGCCGCAAGGCUGAAACUUAAAGGAAUUGGCGGGGGAGCACAACAACGGGUUGGAGCUUGCGGUUUAAUUGGAUUCAACGCCGGAAAUCUUACCGGGACCGACAGCAACAUGAAGGCCAAGCUGAAGACUUUGCCGGAUUAGCUG